CCUCCUUCAGCUCGUUGGAAAGCUUAGCCACUUUGUUAUUCAGCUGAGAACACCUGGCAGCGGUACCCACUUCCUUUCGACAGACUGCUUUUCUUUGAGCAAGUCAUUCAGCCUCUGUUCCAGACUGUCACACUUCUCAAUGGUCUCUUUAAAUUUGGUCUUCAUGUUGUUAAUCUCUUCAGCUGUAUCCUUUUCUAUUCGGACAAUCUUGUUUUCCCAAUAGAUUCUCUGCGAUUCCAGCUGGCUUGUUAGCAAAUAUGAGUACUCUAAUUGUAAGGCAUCAAUUUUCUCUUCCUGACACAUAUCUCCCUCGCACUCAUACUGAACUAUCUUCCCAUCAGUUUUACUUGCAACCAGUCGGUGGACGUAGUUAUCUCCAGCAUAAUCCCAGACUCUGUGGUUGGUCAACUGCAUUGCAUAGGUGUGCUGGGUCUCCUCAAAGUGCUUGUAGGCAUGGCGACUCACAUACCGGCCACAGCCUAUGUGCCCACAUAUCAAACAGAUCCAGAGGUUUUCUUGAACUCCACACUCAAAACAUUUGUUCUCUUCCACUGGCUCCGGCGUUUGGCAGUAUCUGCAGACAGGACAC
This 589-nucleotide long non-coding RNA is filed under the name Gallus gallus (chicken). The record is from RNAcentral. Lineage: Eukaryota; Metazoa; Chordata; Aves; Galliformes; Phasianidae.